GGUCCCGAUCGGUGGAUCGGUGGUAGGUUCGUGAAACUGGAUGACGAGGAGCAGCCGUGCUUCCAGGUGGAAGCGCCGCGGCCGAUUGAGAGCGACGAGAGCGCGACCUCGGGGGUUGUGGCUACGUUUGAUUGUAGCUACGAGGUAUUCGAGCCGAUCGGGUCUUGCAACACUGCUAACGGAGGUGUCAGAAGAUAGAAGGAUAAGAGAACACGGAGCGACGAGACCGAUAAAAAUCGAUUCCUCCGCAAGAAUCGAAGCCCUUUCAGGGCGUUUGCGGACGAUGGCGACGACGGAGGAGAAGAAUCGCGAAAAAUAUCCAAGAACGAGCUAGAGGGGAACGGAAGAUCCUGGCCUGUCCACGGCAGGCACUCCUCUAUCACGGUAUACCCAUCUUCCGUGUAAUUAAUUCGAGGAGGAACGGAUGGAUCGCGGAGGGGAAGAUUGCCUCCAGUGGCAUCGGCCACUUACCAGCUCUCUUCUUCGCGAGACUAUCGCCACUCCUCGAUCUUCGUCGAGUUUCCACGUUUCUACCCCCAAAGACACGCGUGUACUGUCGAAUCCUUUCAAAGUGUCGCGAUUUUUCCCUCGCGUAACGUCGCGAAGCCAUCUCCCUUCUUGGAAUUGCUAGGUCGAGGCUUGGUGUUAUUUCUUGGAUACUGUGACGAUGGAAUUUUAUGUUUAAGCUUUGAAUUUUGUAGCGACAAUAAUAAAACAGUUGGAUAAAG
This is a long non-coding RNA of Hylaeus volcanicus, 728 nucleotides long. RefSeq lists it as uncharacterized. The transcript has 3 exons. Lineage: Eukaryota; Metazoa; Arthropoda; Insecta; Hymenoptera; Colletidae. The record is from RefSeq and is a predicted model, not a curated record.